RNAcentral lists this ribosomal RNA (138 nucleotides) under uncultured eukaryote. RNAcentral's name for it is "partial 18S ribosomal RNA". It matches the Rfam family "Eukaryotic small subunit ribosomal RNA", at positions 1299 to 1457 of the family's 1831-position model. The record is from RNAcentral.
UGGUGGAGCGAUUUGUCUAGUUAAUUCCGAUAACGAACGAGACUCUGGCCUAUUAAAUAGUUCGCCGAUUCCGAUCUGUCGGCGUUAACUUCUUAGAGGGACAAGUGGCUUUUAGCCACGCGAGAUUGAGCAAUAACG